CGGGCACAUGCCCCCUCAGCAACCAGUCAGCAAGCAGGGGGGCAGGGGUCCCUUGCGGCCAAUCCCGCUGACCAUGGGGAACCCGAUCCCGCACCAAUCUCACUGACUAGCAAGGGUCCCCCACAGAUGAUCGCGAGGCAGACAAUUGCUCCGGCUGAUCGUUGCAGCUGCUUCCAGAAGUGGCUGUGGCCACUUCUGGGAACGCAACAGCACUCCACUCGUUGGCCAGCGUUUCCAGGGGGGGCACCCCUGUGCUCCCCCUACACGUUGCCACUGGAUGCACCCAAGGGUGCUGAGGGAGUUGGCUGAUGUGAUUGCAGAGCCAUUGGCCACCAUCUUUGAAAACUCAUUGCAAUCAGGAGAGGUCUUGGAUGAUUGGAAAAGGGCAAACAUAGUGCCCAUAUUUUAAAAAGGGAAGGAGGAUCCAGGGAACUACAGAGUAGUCAGCCUCACCUCAGUCCCUGGAAAAAUCAUGGAGCAGAUCCUCAAGGAAUCCAUUUGUAAGCCCUUGGAUGAGAAAUGUGUUAUUAGGAAUAGUCAGCAUGGAUUCACCAAGGGGAAAUCAUGCCUGACAAAUCUGAUUGCCUUCUAUGACAAGGUGGCUAGCUCUAUGGAUGUGGGGAGACUGGUGGAUGUGUUGUACCUUGAUUUUAGCAAGGCUUUUGAUAUGGUCUCCCACAACAUUCUUGCAGGCAAGCUAAGGGAGUAUGUGCUGGAUGAAUGGACUGUAAGGUGGGUAAAAAACUGGCUGCAGCACUGGGCUCAGAAAGUAGUAAUGAAUGGCUCGAUGUCUAGUUGGCAGCUGGUACCAAAUGGAGUACCCCAGGGAUCGGUCCUGGGGUCAGUUUUGUUCAAUUUCUUCAUCAGUGACAUGGAGAAUGGUCAUCAGUGCACCUUCAGCUAGUCUUCAGAUGACACCAAGCUGUGGGGAAUAAUAGGUACAUUGGAGGGUAGGGCUAGGAUUCAGAGGGACCUGGACAAAUUGGAGGAUUGGGGCAAAAGGAAUCUCAUGAGGUUCAACAAGGACAAGUGCAAAGUCCUGCACUUAGGACGGAACAAUCCCAUGCAGUGGUACAGGCUGGGGGCUGACUGGCUGGGCAGCAGCUCUGCAGAAAAGAACCUAGUGGUUACAGUAGACAAUAAGCUGAAUAUGAGUCAGCAGUGUGCCCUUGUUGCCAAGAAGACUAACAGCAUUCUGGGCCGCAUUGGUAGAUGUUGCCAGUAGGUCAAGUGAAGUGAUUAUUUCGCUCUAUUCAGCACUGGUGAGGCCACAUCUGGAGUACUGUGUUCAGUUUUGGGCCUCCGCUACAAAAAAGGAUGUGAACAAAUUGGAGAGUCCAGCAGAGGGCGACAAAAAUGGUGAGGGGGCUGGGAGACAUGAUUUACAAGGAAAGACUGGGGGAACUGGGCUUAUUUAAUCUAGAGAAGAGGAGACUUAAUAGCAGUCUUCAACUACCUUAGGGGGGUUCAAAAAAGGAUAGAGCUAGGCUAUUCUUAGUGGUGGCAGAUGACAGAACAAGGAUCAAUCAUCUCAAGUUGCAGCAAGGGAAGUUUAGGUUAAAUAUUAGUAAAAAUUACCCACCUAGGAGAGUAGUAAAACACAGGUUUGUCACAAGGCAGGCCAGCAUGUUCUGCAUGAGCUGCAGCGUCAAGACAGUUAUCAGGAACAGCCCCUCAAAGCACACUGUAGUAGUUUACCCUCAAGAUUACUAAAGCAUGAACGAUAGUGGCUGGGGUGAAGCUGAAGGAAAGGGACACACCUUUCUCCCCAGGCAGAGCUGAUGAAAGGCACUCCUACCCAGCCCCACCAUCUGAACAUCCAGGUGCAGCAGAGGAUCCAGAAGUAACACAAGACUGCAAACCUGACUGACAAAGGGAGGCUGAUCUCCAUCAGUGAUAGGUCUCAUGCCCCCACCCCAAGUCAUGAGGACUGCCAACCACCAUCACAUCUUUGUCCCCUUUUGGUUCAGCUUCCAUUGCUUUAUCUACAUCCAGUCCUCAGUUGUAGACAGGUGUGAGGGGAAAAGAGUGGGGCAGGGGAAAAGCUCCGAGAAACUUGAACAAAAGGUGCUUACCUCAGGUGCCAAGAGCAGCCAGUCUGGAACAGAGAGCAUGCCUUCGGAGAGCGUGAUACUAUGCUUUCGUAGUGUGUACUCCCUCCAGAUUGGCAGAAGGAGCACAGGAACAGGUAUUCCUGCCCCCAGAGAGGGCCGGUAGAGUGAAGACCACAGUCAGCGGAAUAAGGAGACACCAGAGAUCUAUACUUAUGACACCUGGCAGGCAACUGUGGGGGAACCAAGCCAGUGCACUGGACAAGGUUGUUGGAGGACCACUGAAAAAGCCCAAGACACAAUGAGGAGCCAGCUGGGUGGAGAUUCAAGUGGCAACUAUAGGAAUUCGAAGUCAGAGGAAGUGAAUGAGAGCAGAGAAGCUGCCAGCGAGUCAGGCUGAGAGUUUCAGGGGCCAUGCCUCUUUGAUUUCCAUCUUUAGCCUUGUUUGUUUGUUUGUUUGUUUGUUUGUUUGUUUGUUUGUUUGUUUUGGAGCUGCGUCCUCACCCCCCCACCAAAAAAAAAAAAUCGGGAGGGUAACAGGAGAGAAAACCUUUCCCUGUGAAAACAGUGACUUGGACCCUAAGGAGUUGUGGUCAAGGUAGGAAUUCCUGUAAGGGAGAGGGACCAAUUUAAGUUAUUUUCUGGACCUUAAAGCUACUGAUCUAAACUGGAUGAUUCAUGCAAUGGCUCCUGCUCUGGAUGCCCACCCCAGGAAGGCGAAGUUCUAUGCUCCUAAUCUCCAGCAGAAGAGAGGGUUUUCAAGAUGCAUCGUCAGAAGGCGUAGGGGAGCCCCAGAUGCAUUUGUUUCCUGUAGCAAUACUAGUUUGCCCAAGGACAAAGCCAGGUCACCUGAAUACACUUGACAGGUGACUCCUUUCUCCGCUCCUCCUCACACCACGUGCUUCCAUGGAUAUGGUACAAUCAAAUGUCUAAAUUAUGAGAAGUAGCCAGCAUACAAAAACUACAGACAGAUCAUACGCACCUGAGCCUGAGUUAGCUUUACCCAGUCAGUGACAACUUUAGCCUUACAAAUGGGUGAGGGCACACCAGUUUCAAAUGUACUCAGAAUAUUUUAUCCAAAACCCCAGCUUGGUUUAGCUCAUUGGUCCACUACUGCUUUGCCGCUUUGCUGAGCUACGCAUAUGGAUCACCUCUGACCUGGACUGCUCCAUGUUCACAGUGACAGGGUGUGAUGUAGAUGAUUAAAUGCUUUUUGGUCCAGCUCACGCCUGUCUGUUGCUCUGUUUACACACUACUACUUUGCAGAUGUUCACCUCCACUCUUGCUGCCUCCUGGGCAGGGGGUCAGCUGCAGAGCCCCCAGUGUCAGUGGCCAGCGUCACUUGUAGCUCCAUGUAGAUCCUGGGAACUGACCUUGUUCUACACCUUUGAAAUUGAAAGGAACUUGCAUAGAAUACAGGGACAGCUGUUAUAUAUCUCCUGCUGUGGGCUACAAUACCUGGUAUAAAAGAAAAAAAAAAUACUGAUGUACUCUGAUGCCUACCAGGAAGGGGAAGAAAACUUGGUGCUACCAAGCUUCCACCCAUGUCCUGGUUUGACAUUGUGGAGACUCCAGCUUGCAGGUUCUUUACAGUGACAGCUGGAGGGGGGAGUGACUGUGAUGCCAGCUGUGCCUCCUGGUGGUAUCCCUCAGGGAGCAGACAAGAGAGCCAUAGAAGGUGGCAAGGCUCCAAAGCAUCCUCUGCCAUAAGGACUUGAUUGAUUCAAAACCUGGCUGGAGGACACCUGAACUGUCAGAGACAGUGCUAAAGAAGAAGGAGUACAUGGACUCCCAGAAAGGAGGAAGUUUGUGAACACUGGCAGCAAGCAGAAGUCUUCAUCUCCACCUGCAGCAGCUUUCCUGGAAAACAAAUAUGGAGCCUUAGCAACAGAGGAGGAGGAGCACAUUCCAUUGGUAGAAGAAAUCAGCCCAGGCAUCCCCAAGGUUGGGAGAAUUAAGAUCACUGCUGCCAGGAGGGAGCAACAGGUGGUGAUGGUUGCUGGAGACUCCCUUUCUGCACGGGAUGGAGGCAUCCAACUGCCAGCUUGACCUCUGUUCUUGGGAAGCCCACUGCAUGCCAAGCCCCAGACCUGAGAUUUCACGGAAGAAUUACUGAGGCUCAUCCAGCCCUCUGACUACUACCUCAUGCUGCUUAUCUAAUGAUACUGGUCCCCCUGAGCAGAUAAAAAGUGGCUACAGGGCUCUGGGUGCAAGGGUAAGGGGGACAGGGGCUCAGGUAGUGUUCUUCUCUAUCCUAGUCAAGGGAAACAGCCCGGGUAGGAGCAGAUGCAUCCUGUCAGUUAAUGCGUGGCUGCACGGAUGGUGUCAUUGAGUCAUAGGGUUGGAAGGGACCUCAAAGGAUCAUCGGGUUGAGCUCCCUGCAUGAACAGGAAAAACAUCUGAGGUCAGAUGACCCCAGCCAGGCGGCUGUCCAGUCUUCUCUUGAAGACCUCUAGGGUAGAUAAUUGCACCACUUCUUGGGGGACCUUGUUCCAUAGUCUGGACACCCUAGUUGCGAAGAAGUUUUUCCUAAUGUUCAGCCUGAAACUAUCUUCCAGGAGUUUGUGGCUGCUGUUUCUAGUUUUCCCCCAGGGCGCCCUGGUGAACAAUUACUCCCUCAGCCUCUCCUCGUAUGGCUUGCCAUGGAAGUCCCUGAUCAUACGGGUGGCCCUUCUCUGGACCCUCUCGAGCUUUAGCACAUACUUGUUGAAGUGUGGAGCCCAGAACUGGAUGCAAUACUUCAGCUGCGGCCACACCAAUGUUGAGUAAAGCGGGAGAAUCACUUCUUUGGUUUUACUGGAGAUGCAUUGAUUGACACAUGCCAGAGUGGCCCUAGUGGCUACCGUGUCGCAUUGCCAGCUCAUAUUCAUGCUGGUGUCUAUUGUUAUUCCCAGAUCCCUUUCAUUUGUAGUGCUGGUCAGGUUAACGAUACCCAGCCUAUAGGUGUGCUGGGGGUUCUUCCUUCCUAGAUGCAGCACUUUGCAUUUGUCUACAUUGAACCUCAUCUGGUUCCAUUCUGCCCAACAUGCCAGCCUAUCUAGGUCUGCUUGUAUCUGCAACCUAUCUGCGGGUGUGUCUGCACAACCCCAUAUCUUGUCAUCUGUAAACUUGGCCAAUGGGCUUUUCACCCCCUCAUCCAGCAAGGAUUUCGUUUCUUUGACCACAAGAUGUUGUUCCAAGAAGGAUUGCUAGGCAGAAAAAGGCUCCGGACCUGAUGAAGAGAUGGAAGAGCAUCUUUGCAGACAGGCUCACUAACCUAGUGAGGAGGGCUUUAAAACUAGGUUCGGGGAGAGUGGAGACCAAAGCCUUGCAGUAUGUGGGGAAGCAGGUGACCUAGAGGAAUCAAGUGACUUGAAGGAAACAAGUCGGGCUUUAAACUAGCUUCGUCAGGGGAAGGGGCCGCCCGAGGAGGAAGGGAUGUUUCGCCAACUAGCAAGGUGACAAGAGAAACAGAAACCCAGGUAAGCAACAACAGGCACAGCAGUCCUGGGAGCAGGGUAGAGGUACAUGCACUCUCAGGAGGCCUUACAUGUCUGUACACUAAUGCAUGUAGUAUGGGGGGCAAGCAGGAGGAACUUUGCCUUCUGAUUGCAGGGAAAAAUCCAGACUUAGCGGGGCUCACAGAAACCUGGUGGGAUCCUACCCACAACUGGGUGGUGGGCAUUCAGGGAUACACACUAUAUAGAAGGGACAGGACUGGGAGGAAAGGCGGCGGCGGUGGGGGGGGGGGUCCCCCUCUAUGUCAAAGAGCAAUUCACAUCAUCAAGAAUUAGCCUUGGGGUGGAGGAAGGUCAGACAGAGGCACUAUGGGUCAAACUUCAAGGGGGACAAGGCAAAAGGGAUCUUACGGUGAGUGUCUACUAGAGACCACCCUGCCAAGGGGUUGAGAUGGACCAGGAUUUCUCAGUACAGCUUAUGGAGGCAGCUGGGUCUAGGGAUGCUGUUGUCAUGGGGGACCUAAACUACCCAGAUAUCUGCUGGGAGGAGCAGUCAGCCAGGUCUGACCAUUUGCAUAGGUUCCUGGCUGAAAUACAAGACCUCCACCUUAUCCAGGAGGUGCACAGCCCCACUAGGGGAGAUGCCUUGCUGGACCUGGUCUUGGCUACUGGGGAUGACCUGGUGAGGGGACUGCAGGUCCUUGACCACCUGGGUGACAGUGAUCGUCGCCUGCUGGAAUUCACCAUCCAGCGCAGGGUGUUGAGGGCUUCUACCAAGACUAAAGCACCUGACUUCAGAAGGGCCAACUUCAACAAAUUUAGGAGAUUAGUGGGGGAGGCAUUGAGGGCCCAAAAGGUAGAGGAGAUGGGAAUCCAUGAGGGAUGGUCGUAUCUUAAGGGGACGAUCCUCCAGGCUCAGAGUGUGACAGUCCCCGAGAGAAAGAAGUGGGGUAAGAGUGCUCUGAAACCCCCAUGGCUCAGCAAAGGCAUUCGAGAAUGCCUAAGGGCCAAAAGGGAGGUGUACACCCGGUGGAAGAGAGGGGCUAUCACCAAGGAAGAAUACUCCUCCUUGGCCCAUGAGUGCAUGAUGGCCAUUAGGAAUUCUGGCCAAGGUGGGGGUGGAGCUCAGGCUAGUGGCCAGGAUUAAGGACUACAAAAAGUCCUUCAAAUACACUGGGAGUAAGAAGUGGGCACCGGGUAACAUAGGGCUCCUGUUAGACUCAAAUGGUAAUCUUGUGGCUAUGCCAAACAAGAAAGCCGAAAUCUUUAACAAGUUCUUUGCCUCCGUUUUCUUGGACAGGGAACAGGACAGCUCUCCCACCACAGGUAGGGGCAAUCUUGAGGCUAGCACUGCCAGGCCUCGGGUCUGCGGAGAAGUAAUUAGGAAUCUUCUGGAAGGACUGGAUGUUUUCAAAUCUGCAGGCUCUGGCGCCCUCCACCCACGGGUGUUGAGGCAGCUGGCGGGGGUUAUUGCUAUGCCCCUGGCCUGGCUGUAUGAACGAUCGUGGUCCACGGGCCAGGUACCCAAGAUUAGAAACUAGCUAAUGUGGUCCCCAUCUAUAAGAAAGGGAGGAAGGAGGACCCGGGAAACUAUAGGCCCAUAAGCCUCACAUUGCUCUUGGGGAAAAUCCUUGAAAAAAAUCAUUAAGGAGCACAUCUACAAGGGCCCAGCAGGGGAGAUCAUGCCCAGGGGAAAUCAACAUGGGUUCGUUAAAGGCAGGUCCUGCCAGACCAACCUGAUGGCCUUUUAUGACCAAGUAACUAAAUCCCUGGAUGAUGGUGUCGCUGUGGACAUAGCCUUUCUGGACUUUAAGAAGGCCUUUGACACUGUCUCUCACCCCAUUCUCAUUAAUAAACUGAGUGAUUGUGUAGCAGAGAGCCCCCUUUUCCUCUUGCCUGCAGUUGCUCUCCCCUCCUUGGAUAUGUUUUUCCUCUUCUACUUUUUCUUCCUUCCUCUUUCUUUCACUUUAAGAUAAAGAAUUGUGUUUUACAAAAUGCGGACACAAAUUUUAUCUCCCCGUAUAUUUUGGUAUUUUGAUCUAUUUGUGUGCCAUGGCAUUUGUAGCUUAUAUUUUAUACUCCCCACCUUUCAACUUUCAACUAUAAAUGUGUUUAGUAACAAUGUUAACAAGGGCAGGAGUCAAACUGCCGCUUCCUUGUAUCAGGCGGGCCCCUGAAAGAGCAAGUGAAUCAGUGAUUGAAUGCGUAAUACAGUGGCAGGGGGCAAUUAACACCUAAGGAAACUGCAGAUCAACCAAUGGAAGAACUCAAUAGAAGACAAUGUAACAACCAGGACUGAUCAAGGGCUAGAAGCCCUGGUCUGAGUUAAUCAACGUCGGGGACCAACUUUUGGGAUGAAUAUCUCCAGAUCGACCGCUCCCAGAGCCCUAUUCAAAAAUCAUCAACGGACUCCCAAACCUGCACGUACAUGCGGACGACCCCUGGGGCUGACAGAUGCCAUCCAGUAGCCACCGAGGGGGAAGUCCCACGAGGGUCAACGACCCCUGGAUUGGGCAAACCUGAAAACUGGGGUCACCAAAGUCUGCCAAGGACAGAUAAAAAAAGCGGUGAAAAGUGACCCUCACCAGCGCCCUCUUGAUCUCCAACUUGACCAGCACCCGACCUGUGCAGCCAGAAGGACCAGCUGGUGACCCCCUUCUGGAGGAUAAUACCACACUGAAAGAAGCCUCAACUGGCCAUCGACGGCAGACUCCAGCGCUUGUGGGCUAGGUAUACCCAACUCUUGUAGCUUGCUACUGUGUGCGUGCGUGCGUGCAGACCAGCCCCAAGGUUUAUGAUUUAACUUCAUUACAGUGCUUCAAUCAACCUAAUAAACCAGAAUUUUAAGGA
Alligator mississippiensis (American alligator) is the source of this 8338-nucleotide long non-coding RNA. RefSeq lists it as uncharacterized. The record is from RefSeq and is a predicted model, not a curated record. The transcript is spliced from 2 exons. NCBI's taxonomy places the organism in Eukaryota, Metazoa, Chordata, Crocodylia, Alligatoridae.